This 562-nucleotide ribosomal RNA is filed under the name Streptomyces setonensis. RNAcentral describes it as "bacterial SSU rRNA". It matches the Rfam family "Bacterial small subunit ribosomal RNA", at positions 120 to 696 of the family's 1533-position model. The record is from RNAcentral. Lineage: Bacteria; Bacillati; Actinomycetota; Actinomycetes; Kitasatosporales; Streptomycetaceae.
GGCAAUCUGCCCUUCACUCUGGGACAAGCCCUGGAAACGGGGUCUAAUACCGGAUAACACUCUGUCCCGCAUGGGACGGGGUUGAAAGCUCCGGCGGUGAAGGAUGAGCCCGCGGCCUAUCAGCUUGUUGGUGGGGUGAUGGCCUACCAAGGCGACGACGGGUAGCCGGCCUGAGAGGGCGACCGGCCACACUGGGACUGAGACACGGCCCAGACUCCUACGGGAGGCAGCAGUGGGGAAUAUUGCACAAUGGGCGAAAGCCUGAUGCAGCGACGCCGCGUGAGGGAUGACGGCCUUCGGGUUGUAAACCUCUUUCAGCAGGGAAGAAGCGAAAGUGACGGUACCUGCAGAAGAAGCGCCGGCUAACUACGUGCCAGCAGCCGCGGUAAUACGUAGGGCGCAAGCGUUGUCCGGAAUUAUUGGGCGUAAAGAGCUCGUAGGCGGCUUGUCGCGUCGGAUGUGAAAGCCCGGGGCUUAACCCCGGGUCUGCAUUCGAUACGGGCAGGCUAGAGUGUGGUAGGGGAGAUCGGAAUUCCUGGUGUAGCGGUGAAAUGCGCAGAUA